UGGUAGUAGAAAGGAUUUCGUCGCAGAGGAAGGAAGGUUCGCCGAGAGGCAUCGGAGAGAGGGGAUUCGUGGAGAGGCGUUUAGGGCUUCGUUGCAAAGAGGGAGAAGUUCGCGGCGGAGAGGCGUUUAGGGUUCGGUUUUGUUCGUGUUGAGGGAGAAGGUCGCGUUUGUGAGAACCAUCUUUCGUUUUCUAUUUUAUUAAUUAUAUUU
RNAcentral lists this long non-coding RNA (210 nucleotides) under Trifolium pratense (red clover). RNAcentral's name for it is "long non-coding RNA (TPRA_LNC008502)". Lineage: Eukaryota; Viridiplantae; Streptophyta; Magnoliopsida; Fabales; Fabaceae. The record is from RNAcentral.